GCAGGCGGCGGCUGUUGGCUCCCGGCGCUGGCGCUGCUGCGUCCUGGGCAAUAUGGCGGCUCCGACAGCGGCGCAGACUCCGACACAGCGCGGCGGCGGCCGUGGCCCCGCCACCCGAACAGCGUGACCCCCGCCCCCCUCCUCCCUCCCCAAGCGUGGCCUCCCCCGCGGGCCCUGGGGCCGGACACAGGCAUGGCUGAACCGGGCAGCCGCCCAAGACCUGGACAGAAAGGGGGCCCGAAAAUGUAUGAAAAAACUGCUGUUUACAGAUACAAGUAAAUUCGGGUUUAUGCUGCAUGUACUACAUGGAAAAAUUACCAGAAUUCAGUGCCCUAAGAAUUUACACAAAUACCUUCCACCAACAUUCUGUUAACUAAGCAAGAAUCUACAUUCAGCCUCAGGCUCGUAGUCUCCGAAUCAAUUAAUCCUCCCAGAGUAAAGAAGAGGGUUGCCUUUCUCUCCCACAGGUGCGGGGAGUUCCCAUCGGUGAGACACAGCCUGAUGAUGUCAUUGCUCUGGCACCCCGCAUCUUGAAUUUUGACCUGGUGUUGCAGAAAUAGUGAAAGAAGAGGGGGAGAAGCGUGAUCUUCUCAUGUACUUCACAUAUGAGAAGAACAUCCUGAGCUGUUUUGAUAAUGGCAUCCAGAGCUUCUAUUUCUCCAGGGAGUCAAGAGGUAUUUGGGGUGGUAGAACAAAGAGAAGAGCUCUGCCUUACUCCUGAAUCAGUUCUGACUGGCUACUCACUCGCAGAAAGAGGCAGGAAAGUGGGAAAAGGCAACCAAUAAGAAGAUAUUAGAAGCUCUGAGCAAGGCUGAAAAAUUGGUGAAGGCUGAAGGUUGUGACCUCACCACAGGACUGACUUCAGCAGGUGCAUAAAUCACACAAGGAUCACCAGAGUGGAUGACCCUGCUGUAGAUUCAGUUCUCACCAUCCACCUCUUUAAAAAUAUAGAUCCAGAUCCUGUACUGUUAAUGUCAACAAACUUUGCCAUUGAUCUAAAAAAGGUGUAGGAUCGACUCUGUACAUUUUAAACGUACCUCCUCCAUUUUGACAAUACAUAAAUAGCUUUCCUUCAUGCAGACACAGUGCAACAAGUCCUUACAAACUCAAUUUCUUCACUGCUGCAACCAACUGUCUGCAAAAUGAAUAUAAUAUGUUUCCCACACCCAUAAAUAUAAUUUCAGUUUUCCAUUUUUAUCUGCUUAAGCAUACUUCAUUUAAUCAAAAGAAGCAAAUAAAACCCACAAUAUGUUUACAGUUAUGUAAAAGUAAUGGAAAACUACAAACUAGGAACCCAACUUGGCACCCACGGAAUUAACUUGUAAAACUCUUGUUGACUUCUCAAGAGCAGGAUCUAGCUAAAUUGGUGAGCAGUAUCACUGCCAGUGCCCUGAAGGAGACCACCAAGACUAGGAUCACCAGGAUGCCAUCCAACAAGGACCUGGCCAUGUUCCUGAGCAGGUUCAAGCAAGACAGUGGGAACUUUGCCUUGCUGUGGAGCUGAGCCAACAAUGCGGCAUGGUGCCUUGGGAAGCACCUUAGUUGCUGCUGGACAGGGUGCAAAGAGCAGCAGCAGCUGGGGAUAUUGCUGUUCCCAGCCCCAACCUGCAAUCAGAUCAUUGUCAUAUCCCAUGUCAGGACCUACCUAGAAUGGUUCCUGAAGUAUGCUGUGUGGGAAAAAUACAUCAAUGUCCUAAAGUCAAAAUCUGACCAGGGUGAAUUCUUUGAGGUCACCUCAAAGUGAGAUGCCAGCAACCACUUCUGCCCUACAGAAGCUUCAUGUGCUACACAGACUGGCACUUUAUCCACCAAGCCCGUCUCAACUGCUUCCCACUCAAUGGUGCAUCUGCUAUGGACAGUGAGUCAAGAGGUGCUGGAGGUGUGGGUAUGAGAGUAAGACCCUGCUCCGUGUCCUGUGUGGCUGCAAGCCCAACAGGAGAGCAUGGCAACUAUGUCACAAUGUUGUACAAAACUUGCUGGUUAAGGCCAUCUUGGAGUCAGUCAGGACAGCAGCUAUGAAUCAUGAUGGCUCAGGUUGCGACAACCAGGAGUGCUGAAACAUUGGUAUAAUGGACAAAGACAAUAAAAAGUUCCUGAUGAGUGAUGUGACUAUCCUGUUUGAGAACUGAUACCCAAGGGAGAAGUGUUAUGAUGUCCCAGUGCAGGCAUCGUUGGGGCACUUGGAGCAUGACCUGAGCAAUGAGAGUGUCCCACAAGCCUGCAGAGUACCCCACCGCUACAUGAAACUGAUGUGGCACUUUAUGGCAUCUGAUACCAUCCAAUGGUCAGGGGACAUUUACAUCAAGCACAUCAUAGGCUAUCGCCAAUAUGAAGACAGCUGCCUGAGACCACUGGCCAGAAGUGAGGCAGAGGGACAGACUGAACCCUUCCCACACAUGCCAUUGACUGUGGCAGGCCUGUGCCCCACUCACCAUACCACCUGCAUCCAUUUGGCCAGUCUGCAGGGACUGGCAUCAUGCGGUCGGAAGAGGGACUGCAGAUUGGUCUGGCCUCUUAAAUCUCCCAAGAUAAAAGGAACUCACUGACUGCAUCUAGGGGCAGAGUAAAGAAGGAGGCACCAGGUAUGCCCCUGAAAGCCUUCCUCACACUCAAAACAGAUCCAGUGCAAUGGCAGCAGUGCUGGUUGCUGGGCAGCAUGGGUGUUCAGACUGCAUCAGGGAAAACCUUGUGGCAUCUGAGCACUUACUUACCUGCAUCAUUGGAGCUAGAGACCUGUCCUGGGGCAGGGAGCUCUGGUGAGCCAGAGGACAACAUGAAGGACCAGACACUUGGGGGAAAGGACCCAGGUAUCAGUGAGGGAGCAGCCACAGAGGGACUGAGGGGUACAGAUCUAACUGUGACCCCACCCACACAAAACCUUGCCAGCAGAUACACCCAGGGCAGCUGGGAUGGGACCUGGGCAGCCAAAGGGGCAUCAGUGGGACUGUAAUAUAUCAGGGUCCCAGGGAUAGCUAUAAUGGCCCCUGGUGGCUCUGAGACCAUAACCUGCUUCGCUCCUAGGGUGCCUUCCUGUCUCUCCUGCCAUCCCUUGGUGUUAUUUAUAAUAUAUAGGGAGGCUGCCCACAGGCUUUCAUGAGGCCUCAGUCCCACUGGGCCCCUCCAGACACUGCCUGUGCCCAGGCCCCUUGUUGGGCUUCACUGGUAACUGUGCCACUGAAGGCACCUGAAGCCUUAAGGGCUAAUUUUGUGGUUCCAAGUCCUUCCCUUUACCACACCCAAUGCCUUGUAGUUAUUAUAGAAAUGUUGUUCCUUCUGCUGGGGCUCUGGCCUCCUUGGUUUCUGCCCCUUUAAUCUAGCUACACCUUCUAGCAUGGGCCCACUGUGUUGGACCUGGCUUUGAGACACUCGCUUCAGUCUGUCCCUUCCAGUCACCGGGUCCCUGGCCCCUAUCUGCUGGGUCCCUGGCCCCAGUGUGGCUGCACCCUCUCUGGCACCAGGCCCUGGCCUAUGUGUGGCUGCACCCUCUCUCUCUGCCCGCCCUGGGCUCGAUAACUGCUUGAGCCUUGAGCCUGCCCCUAGCAGGGCUCAAGGUAGUCAAGUGCUCCCUGGGCACUAAUGAGGGCUCCGUACCUCCCCCUCCAGCCUCGUUCUAACCUUCUGGUUUGAAAAACAACAUAACAUAAGCCCCUGGGCUAUAACAUCAUAACAAAGUAGCAGCCCUCUGUCCCUUUAAGAAGGCAAACCUUUACCCCUAGCACAGAGUGCCUCGCAGCCAGGGUACCUUGCAAGUUCCCUGAGCCUCCCUGUUCCUGUAGGCAGCAGUCAGCCCAGUAUCCCUGGGUGGCUCUCCUGGGCGGAAGCUCCUUCCUUCCCCUGUAGUAGCCAGGGAGAGAUUUCCCCAAGGCAGCCUCAGCCAUGGGCUUAUAAACUCCCAGGGUCCUGCCUACAUCUAGUCAGGUGGCUGUCUGAGCUGGCUGCUAAUUGCCUCGUUAGCCCUGUUGCCCUGGCAACUGGCAGCUACGAUGCCUAGCCUGCAGAGCUUCCUGGCUGACUGCUUUUACCUUAAAGUAACAGGAGCCCCAGUUUCUCUGUUACAGGGACCCAUCCAAGGGAAGAACCCACCUGGAAGCCCGUUGAUUUGUGCCACUGUGAUUGGGCAGUUGUGGGCCCAAAAUUCCCUACCAGGCAAGCUUCAGGACCCCAGCUGAUCCAGAGCAUCAGUCCCCGUGUGACCAACCCAGAAAGCGAGGGGUCAAAUAAAUCAUGCCAUACCUGGUACAGAGCACUGAGGAAAAGCACCUAGUACAGUGAGCAUCAUUGCCCUGCUCACCUGUACCACCUAUAUGAUUUCAGCUUGAGUCUAGUUAAGCUAUCAGUUUGCUGGUCAGGCACACUAUAACUACAUUUCUGCCCAGAACCAAAAGCAGGCCUUCUGUGGGAGCAGACAAUACCUGUGAUACCAUUGAAACUGAGGCCAGACCACCCGAGUGGAAAGGGGUGAGGUGUAGGGAAGGAGGAGCCUUACAGAGGAAGCACCAGCCGAGGUGCCCAGGAUCACAGAAAAACACUGGACAAAACCUUCUGGUAGAAACUCAGGUAACAUCAAGUUGUGGCAGGUGAGUUGACCCAAGUGCAACACACCCAAGCAGGCAGGGCACGCUGGUGGCAGUGCUACAAGCGUGCGCCUGCCACACUGACAGAUACUUCUAAUGCUGUCGACUAUGCCCCACCCAAGCACUAGAUACUAAGACCAUUGUCUAAGUAAGUCUUGACACCUUACAACUGAACCCAUGUGGUUACCAUACACAGGGUCUUACCUCUUUUCCUACCAUAGUAUGGCAUUGAAACCUCUUAACUUGCUGUGCCUGAGUCUAACGGAGGCUGAAUGGCUAACUGCAGGUUUCCCUCGAUUUGUGCUGUACAUGUGUUCCCAGAGAAUGGUGCAUAAAUAGAAUUCUCAUCAAGUGAACCCACUUUACAAUAUAACAAAUAGGGAUAGGUUCCCAUGGUGGGGAGGGAGGGAGGGAGGCUGGGACUAGGGAAGGGGCAGGGAUGCCACUCCCAGGGCUGCACAAGGCAGGAAAGCAGAGGGAACAGAGUAGCGCUCACCCCAGCCUCGGCUGCAGUGGCCUGGGAGCAACUGGUGCCAGCUGCUUGCAGCUGCUGGGCUGCACCAUGCUUCGCCUGUCUCCACUCACCUCUGCUCCUGGGCUGGUCCAGUGGCUGCAGGAAGCUGGUGCCGGCUGCUCCUGGGGCCGCUGCACCUAGGACUGGGGUGAGUGGGGCCACAGCCCUUUCCCCUCCCCCCACAGACUUACCUGUUGGAGGGGGCAGGGAGCAGGGCACCUAUGCUGAUUGCAUAACUGUGAAUUUACCUCACAUAUAACGAAUUAUGGAUCUAAAAAUGCUCAUUGCGUAAGAGUGAAGUCACAUAUACAGAACCCAAAUAAAUCAAGGGAAACCUGUACAUAUCUUAGACUGUUAACAUACAUCAACUACCCAUUUACCAUGUAUCUGCUGUGUGUAGGGUCCCAUAUUAUCUUACCACUCUACAAAACCAUACAAAUAACUAUGAUUUUUAACAUUUUCCAAUAAAGGUUUAAAUCUG
Molecule: long non-coding RNA, 5569 nt
Organism: Alligator mississippiensis (American alligator)
Lineage: Eukaryota; Metazoa; Chordata; Crocodylia; Alligatoridae
Exons: 6
Source: RefSeq, a predicted model, not a curated record